CCCUACGGGGGGCAGCAGUGAGGAAUAUUGGUCAAUGGGCGAGAGCCUGAACCAGCCAAGUCGCGUGAGGGAGUACUGCCCUAUGGGUUGUAAACCUCUUUUGUCGGGGAGCAAAGCGAGUCACGUGUGACUCAUUGAGAGUACCCGAAGAAAAAGCAUCGGCUAACUCCGUGCCAGCAGCCGCGGUAAUACGGAGGAUGCGAGCGUUAUCCGGAUUUAUUGGGUUUAAAGGGUGCGCAGGCGGAGGUGCAAGUCAGCGGUCAAAUUGCGGGGCUCAACCCCGUACUGCCGUUGAAACUGCAUCC
RNAcentral lists this ribosomal RNA (305 nucleotides) under uncultured bacterium. RNAcentral's name for it is "bacterial SSU rRNA". It matches the Rfam family "Bacterial small subunit ribosomal RNA", at positions 337 to 640 of the family's 1533-position model. The record is from RNAcentral.